AAGGCAUGACGUGGAGGGUGUCCUCGCUGUUGGUGCCGGCGAUCGACCCCAGGUUCCAGUUCCGCAUGGCUUC
RNAcentral lists this transfer RNA (73 nucleotides) under Kineosporia sp. NBRC 101731. RNAcentral describes it as "tRNA-Thr". The record is from RNAcentral. Lineage: Bacteria; Bacillati; Actinomycetota; Actinomycetes; Kineosporiales; Kineosporiaceae.